This 413-nucleotide RNase P RNA is filed under the name Gemmata-like str. JW10-3f1. RNAcentral describes it as "partial RNase P RNA subunit". It matches the Rfam family "Bacterial RNase P class A", at positions 43 to 351 of the family's 367-position model. From Rfam's summary of the family: Ribonuclease P (RNase P) is a ubiquitous endoribonuclease, found in archaea, bacteria and eukarya as well as chloroplasts and mitochondria. Its best characterised activity is the generation of mature 5'-ends of tRNAs by cleaving the 5'-leader elements of precursor-tRNAs. Lineage: Bacteria; Pseudomonadati; Planctomycetota; Planctomycetia; Planctomycetales; Planctomycetaceae. The record is from RNAcentral.
GAGGAAAGUCCGGGCUCCACAGAGCGCAGUGAUGGAUAACGUCCACCGCGAAUCUCCCGCCGACUCUCCGGUGUCGGUGGAAUCGAUUCGCCGGGAAAGUGCAACAGAAAGCAGACCGCCCGGAAUUCGGGUUUGGCGUUUGGGAAACGGGGGUCGCACCCCGCCAAGCUCUUAACCCGAAUUUCUGGUAAGGGUGAAACGGUGGGGGAACGCAAGUUCCUUAAUGUAAGAGCCCACCAGCGGCGGGGUGACUCGUCGGCUCGGCAAACCCCACUGGGAGCAAGGCUAAACAGGGGAGAGGAACUGCUCGUUCCGUCAUCAUCUCCGGGUAAGCCGCUUGAUCGACCGGGCAACCGGUCGGCUAGAUAAAUGAUCGUCACCGUCGGACAACCGUCGGAACAGAACCCGGCUUA